Molecule: ribosomal RNA, 230 nt
Filed under: uncultured eukaryote
Lineage: Eukaryota
Description: partial 18S ribosomal RNA
Rfam family: Eukaryotic small subunit ribosomal RNA
Source: RNAcentral
GGAAAACUCACCAGGUCCAGACAUAAUAAGGAUUGACAGAUUGAUAGCUCUUUCUUGAUUUUAUGGGUGGUGGUGCAUGGCCGUUCUUAGUUCGUGGAGUGAUUUGUCUGCUUAAUUGCGUUAACGAACGAGACCUUAACCUGCUAAAUAGAAGUGCCUAUCUUCGGAUAAGCGCCUUUCUUCUUAGAGGGACUGUAUGCGUUUCAGCAUGCGGAAGUUUGAGGCAAUAA